Molecule: non-coding RNA, 1520 nt
Filed under: Ustilago trichophora
Lineage: Eukaryota; Fungi; Basidiomycota; Ustilaginomycetes; Ustilaginales; Ustilaginaceae
Source: RNAcentral
UGCCGAUGACAGACCCCCCCACCCCAACCUCCGAGGUACUUGCCCAAUUCCACCAAAUCCAGUUAGGAGAAGCCGAAACAAAAUCACAAAGACGAGAUAAAAAAGACGCAGCAUUCUACCACACUUCGAUCCCGCGCCCGCCUCCCGAAUUUGUUCCCCACCUUGACCGCAAUUAGCACCCUCCCUUCAACCCUUGUUUCAAAGGUGCAAAAGGGAGUGUCUGUGAUUUUUUUGUCGGUCGGUGGUGGAAGAACAGGAGGUAGUUUCCCAAAAGAAACUUUAAAGCGGUGAUGGGACGAUCCUAACCCUAAGUUGUUCCACGUAGAGUAGUCAAGGUUAGGUUCAUUCCGGAAAGCAGGGUUUCCCACUGUGGUCUGACUGCAUCAUGACUUUGUCAUUGUCCCUGUGGACGCUGUGCGGGGAAUGGGGAAAGAGAGGUCUUGCUGGACACCGUGUUGGUGAUGAAGCACUCUUUCUCCCUCUCUGCUCGGUGAACGCCUCAGCGAAGGCAUAGCUCAAAGAAGUGGUGCAGGAGGUUCAAUGUACGACCCUCUCAAAGGAAUGGAUCUUUCCCUCAGGCGCAGUGUACCAUCACCCAUACUCCUUGGGUGAAGAAAAAAGUUAGAUAUACUUUCGUAUAUCAUUGUGCUGCGCCCUCUGCACACGUCAACCGCAAAGCCAGUUCCCCCUUGCGCACUACAAAGGGGAAAUGGUUGCCUAGACACCAAUCCUCCGUUUUAUACACACUAUAACACUACAGUUGUAGCGCUACACGGUCUUUCUUGUUCUAUCCUUCUUACCGCCGUCCCUUGACUCAAAGGGAAAAGACUAAGGAAGGAUGAAUGUCCGUCGCUUUUGUUUUUAUCUUCAGCCAACUUUUUUUUUUUUUUGGAUUUGGGCUCUUCUUCUGGGUUUGGUCUUGCGUUUGGAUACGGUAGGGUAUAGGUUGCGGCUCCAUAGAAGGGUUCUCGAGGCACACUACGAAGGCAAACCACCAACUUAUUCACCUCAUCUUUCACACUCCUUUUUUCGCUCUCUCGACGGCUACCACACUCUUCGUGGCCAAAGGCGAACUCAAGAACAUCCAACCUCCUUCUAAACACUGCUCUGCGGAGAAAAACCAAGUCGACAGGACUCCCAAUCCGAUCCCAUCUCAUCCUCCCCUCUCCGAUCUGCCUUUCGUGCAUGCUUCUCAGGAAUUUGGUGUGGGGCAAGCGCGUCCCGUCUCUGGAUCAGGAGGCGUGAGGAAGCAGCACCGCCUUUUCGCCUGUCCCAUGUUUCAGAGGCGCAGGAAAGGACGGGAAGUCUUUGGAUGGGUGGCAAAGAUGAUGGAAGUAGAUUGGGAUCCUGCGCGGCCUUUUUUGUGUUGUCAGAGCUUUGCGCUCGUCAGAAAGGUUGGUUGGAUUCUUAGGUUGCCCCUUUUGUUCGCGUUGCAAGUCAUCGAGGUCACGAGAAAAGGAGGAGUAGGCGGAGGAGGAGGCGGAAUAGGCUGUGUCUGAAUUUUUCUUUCCUCUCAUCGA